This 252-nucleotide ribosomal RNA is filed under the name uncultured bacterium. Its description in RNAcentral is "partial 16S ribosomal RNA". It matches the Rfam family "Bacterial small subunit ribosomal RNA", at positions 524 to 776 of the family's 1533-position model. The record is from RNAcentral.
UACGGAGGAUGCGAGCGUUAUCCGGAUUUAUUGGGUUUAAAGGGUGCGUAGGCGGAAUAUCAAGUCAGCGGUAAAAAUUCGGGGCUCAACCCCGUCGUGCCGUUGAAACUGAUGUUCUUGAGUGGGCGAGAAGUAUGCGGAAUGCGUGGUGUAGCGGUGAAAUGCAUAGAUAUCACGCAGAACUCCGAUUGCGAAGGCAGCAUACCGGCGCCCAACUGACGCUGAAGCACGAAAGCGUGGGUAUUGAACAGG